GUACCUCUUUGGAAUAGUAGUGCUGUUGAAUACUUAGGGAACCCAGUUUCCAGGGGUAACUGGCCCGAUCAGCGAAUCGUCAUCCAGAGAAUCCUCCGUUGGUUCUAUAGACUGCUGGCUACGGCCGACAAUAAAUCCACAAUCAGAUGAAGGCGAAUUGAUUUCUCGAGAACCUUUGACAUUUCUCUUCAAAAUGCAGUUGGGGACAUCUAAUGUCAGUAUUUCUUGGCCGCGGAAAGCACAACGUGACGACCAGCGAACGUCAUUGGACUCGUACCAAACGCGAGCAGACGAGGUUCUUGUCAACAAUGCCGAUAGUACGAAACUGAGCCGAAAACAGAAAUCCAUCCUGUGAAUACACAAAAACGAAUGCAGAAUGUUGCCACACAAUGGCCACCUUUUUUUAAGUCUAAACUUUGUUGCAACUUCACAGAUAAAAACGUAACGCAUUUCCAGAUUUGUAAAAUAGUAG
Long non-coding RNA from Daphnia carinata, 472 nucleotides. RefSeq lists it as uncharacterized. NCBI's taxonomy places the organism in Eukaryota, Metazoa, Arthropoda, Branchiopoda, Diplostraca, Daphniidae. The transcript is spliced from 3 exons. The record is from RefSeq and is a predicted model, not a curated record.